This 98-nucleotide ribosomal RNA is filed under the name Lactarius deliciosus var. olivaceosordidus. RNAcentral describes it as "partial 28S ribosomal RNA". Lineage: Eukaryota; Fungi; Basidiomycota; Agaricomycetes; Russulales; Russulaceae. The record is from RNAcentral.
UUUGGGCGUGUCUCCCUUCUCGGGAGACUCUCUCGACCCCACGAACCCUUGACCUCAAAUCGGGUGAGACUACCCGCUGAACUUAAGCAUAUCAAUAA